GUUGUAUGGUUAAGUGACUAAGCGUACACGGUGGAUGCCUUGGCAGUCAGAGGCGAUGAAAGACGUAGUAACUUGCGAUAAGCCCAGAUUAGGUAGUAACAACCAUUUGAGUCUGGGAUUUCUGAAUGGGGAAACCCACKURCAUAAGYAMGUAUCMUUAMCUGAAUACAUAGGKUAAKGAGGCGAACCGGGGGAACUGAAACAUCUAAGUACCCCGAGGAAAAGAAAUCAACCGAGAUUCCGAAAGUAGCGGCGAGCGAAAUUGGACUAGCCCUUAAGCUUUACACGCGUUAGACGAACGGUCUGGAAAGUCCGACGAUACAGGGUGAUAGUCCCGUAGUUGACGACGUGUGUUCAGUGAAAUCGAGUAGGGCGGGACACGUGAUAUCCUGUCUGAAUAUGGGGGGACCAUCCUCCAAGGCUAAAUACUACUGACUGACCGAUAGUGAACCAGUACCGUGAGGGAAAGGCGAAAAGAACCCCUGUGAGGGGAGUGAAAUAGAACCUGAAACCGUGUACGUACAAGCAGUAGGAGCAGGCUUGUCCUGUGACUGCGUACCUUUUGUAUAAUGGGUCAGCGACUUAUAUUCAGUGGCAAGGUUAACCAUCUAGGGGAGCCGUAGGGAAACCGAGUCUUAACUGGGCGUUCAGUCUCUGGAUAUAGACCCGAAACCAGGUGAUCUAGCCAUGGGCAGGUUGAAGGUUGAGUAACAUCAACUGGAGGACCGAACCGACUAAUGUUGAAAAAUUAGCGGAUGACUUGUGGCUAGGGGUGAAAGGCCAAUCAAACCUGGAGAUAGCUGGUUCUCCCCGAAAGCUAUUUAGGUAGCGCCUCGGACGAAUACUACUGGGGGUAGAGCACUGUUAAGGCUAGGGGGUCAUCCCGACUUACCAACCCUUUGCAAACUCCGAAUACCAGUAAGUACUAUCCGGGAGACACACGGCGGGUGCUAACGUCCGUCGUGGAGAGGGAAACAACCCAGACCGCCAGCUAAGGUCCCAAAUUACUACUAAGUGGGAAACGAUGUGGGAAGGCUCAGACAGCCAGGAUGUUGGCUUAGAAGCAGCCAUCAUUUAAAGAAAGCGUAAUAGCUCACUGGUCGAGUCGGCCUGCGCGGAAGAUGUAACGGGGCUAAGUAGUAAACCGAAGCUGCGGCAAURURCUUUUGYAYAUUGGGUAGGGGAGCGUUCUGUAAGCGGUUGAAGGUGUGUGGUAACGCAUGCUGGACGUAUCAGAAGUGCGAAUGCUGACAUGAGUAACGAUAAAGGGGGUGAAAAACCUCCUCGCCGGAAGACCAAGGGUUCCUGUCCAACGUUAAUCGGGGCAGGGUAAGUCGACCCCUAAGGCGAGGCCGAAAGGCGUAGUCGAUGGGAAACGGGUUAAUAUUCCCGUACUUCUUACAAUUGCGAUGGGGGGACGGAGAAGGCUAGGUGGGCCUGGCGACGGUUGUCCAGGUUCAAGUGCGUAGGCUUAAGAGUUAGGUAAAUCCGGCUCUUUUUAAGGCUGAGACACGACGUCGAGCUACUACGGUAGUGAAGUCAUUGAUGCCAUGCUUCCAGGAAAAGCCUCUAAGCUUCAGAUUGUAAGGAAUCGUACCCCAAACCGACACAGGUGGUCGGGUAGAGAAUACCAAGGCGCUUGAGAGAACUCGGGUGAAGGAACUAGGCAAAAUGGUACCGUAACUUCGGGAGAAGGUACGCUCUYGAYGGUGAAGUCCCUCGCGGAUGGAGCURWYGAGAGUCGCAGAUACCAGGUGGCUGCAACUGUUUAUUAAAAACACAGCACUGUGCAAAAUCGUAAGAUGACGUAUACGGUGUGACGCCUGCCCGGUGCCGGAAGGUUAAUUGAUGGGGUUAGACUUCGGUCGAAGCUCUUGAUCGAAGCCCCGGUAAACGGCGGCCGUAACUAUAACGGUCCUAAGGUAGCGAAAUUCCUUGUCGGGUAAGUUCCGACCUGCACGAAUGGCGUAAUGAUGGCCACGCUGUCUCCACCCGAGACUCAGUGAAAUUGAAAUCGCUGUGAAGAUGCAGUGUACCCGCGGCUAGACGGAAAGACCCCGUGAACCUUUACUACAGCUUGGCACUGAACAUUGACCCUACAUGUGUAGGAUAGGUGGGAGGCUUUGAAGCACGUACGCCAGUAUGUGUGGAGCCGUCCUUGAAAUACCACCCUUGUAGUGUUGAUGUUCUAACGUCGACCCCUUAUCGGGGUUGCGGACAGUGCCUGGUGGGUAGUUUGACUGGGGCGGUCUCCUCCCAAAGAGUAACGGAGGAGCACGAAGGUGGGCUAAUCACGGUUGGACAUCGUGAGGUUAGUGCAAUGGCAUAAGCCCGCUUGACUGCGAGAAUGACAAUUCGAGCAGGUGCGAAAGCAGGUCAUAGUGAUCCGGUGGUUCUGAAUGGAAGGGCCAUCGCUCAACGGAUAAAAGGUACUCCGGGGAUAACAGGCUGAUACCGCCCAAGAGUUCAUAUCGACGGCGGUGUUUGGCACCUCGAUGUCGGCUCAUCACAUCCUGGGGCUGAAGUCGGUCCCAAGGGUAUGGCUGUUCGCCAUUUAAAGUGGUACGCGAGCUGGGUUUAGAACGUCGUGAGACAGUUCGGUCCCUAUCUGCCGUGGGCGUUGGAAGAUUGAAGGGGGCUGCUCCUAGUACGAGAGGACCGGAGUGGACGAACCUCUGGUGUUCGGGUUGUGUCGCCAGACGCAUUGCCCCCCUGAUACUUUAAGUAUCCUAAAGGGUUGUCGGAGACUACGACGUUGAUAGGUCAGGUGUGUAAGUGCUGUGAGGCAUUGAGCUAACUGAUACUAAUUGCCCGUGAGGCUUAACCAUACAACACCCAAGGGGUUU
Molecule: ribosomal RNA, 2846 nt
Filed under: Vibrio parahaemolyticus
Lineage: Bacteria; Pseudomonadati; Pseudomonadota; Gammaproteobacteria; Vibrionales; Vibrionaceae
Description: bacterial LSU rRNA
Rfam family: Bacterial large subunit ribosomal RNA
Source: RNAcentral